GAUGAACGCUGGCGGCGUGCCUAAUACAUGCAAGUCGAGCGAACAGAUAAGGAGCUUGCUCCUUUGACGUUAGCGGCGGACGGGUGAGUAACACGUGGGUAACCUACCUAUAAGACUGGGAUAACUUCGGGAAACCGGAGCUAAUACCGGAUAACAUUUGGAACCGCAUGGUUCUAAAGUGAAAGAUGGUUUUGCUAUCACUUAUAGAUGGACCCGCGCCGUAUUAGCUAGUUGGUAAGGUAACGGCUUACCAAGGCGACGAUACGUAGCCGACCUGAGAGGGUGAUCGGCCACACUGGAACUGAGACACGGUCCAGACUCCUACGGGAGGCAGCAGUAGGGAAUCUUCCGCAAUGGGCGAAAGCCUGACGGAGCAACGCCGCGUGAGUGAUGAAGGGUUUCGGCUCGUAAAACUCUGUUAUUAGGGAAGAACAAAUGCGUAAGUAACUGUGCACGUCUUGACGGUACCUAAUCAGAAAGCCACGGCUAACUACGUGCCAGCCGCCGCGGUAACAC
RNAcentral lists this ribosomal RNA (516 nucleotides) under uncultured bacterium. RNAcentral describes it as "bacterial SSU rRNA". It matches the Rfam family "Bacterial small subunit ribosomal RNA", at positions 28 to 526 of the family's 1533-position model. The record is from RNAcentral.